CUCCGGGACGAGUCCCAAAUAGAACGAAACGCGCGUCCUGGAU
RNAcentral lists this non-coding RNA (43 nucleotides) under Schistosoma mattheei. The record is from RNAcentral. Lineage: Eukaryota; Metazoa; Platyhelminthes; Trematoda; Strigeidida; Schistosomatidae.